AGAGUUUGAUCCUGGCUCAGAUUAAACGCUGGCGGCAUGCCUUACACAUGCAAGUCGAACGGCAGCACGGGGGCAACCCUGGUGGCGAGUGGCGAACGGGUGAGUAAAGCAUCGGAACGUGCCCUGGAGUGGGGGAUAACGUAGCGAAAGUUACGCUAAUACCGCAUAUUCUGUGAGCAGGAAAGCAGGGGAUCGCAAGACCUUGCGCUCUGGGAGCGGCCGAUGUCGGAUUAGCUAGUUGGUGGGGUAAAGGCCUACCAAGGCGACGAUCCGUAGCGGGUCUGAGAGGAUGAUCCGCCACACUGGGACUGAGACACGGCCCAGACUCCUACGGGAGGCAGCAGUGGGGAAUUUUGGACAAUGGGCGAAAGCCUGAUCCAGCCAUGCCGCGUGAGUGAAGAAGGCCUUCGGGUUGUAAAGCUCUUUCGGUGGGGAAGAAAUUGCAUGGGCUAAUACCCUGUGUAGAUGACGGUACCUGGAGAAGAAGCACCGGCUA
Molecule: ribosomal RNA, 496 nt
Filed under: uncultured Rhodocyclaceae bacterium
Lineage: Bacteria; Pseudomonadati; Pseudomonadota; Betaproteobacteria; Rhodocyclales; Rhodocyclaceae
Description: bacterial SSU rRNA
Rfam family: Bacterial small subunit ribosomal RNA
Source: RNAcentral